Molecule: ribosomal RNA, 506 nt
Filed under: uncultured bacterium
Lineage: Bacteria
Description: partial 16S ribosomal RNA
Rfam family: Bacterial small subunit ribosomal RNA
Source: RNAcentral
AUUGAACGCUGGCGGCAGGCUUAACACAUGCAAGUCGAGCGGUAACAGAGAGAAGCUUGCUUCUCUGCUGACGAGCGGCGGACGGGUGAGUAAUGCCUAGGAAUCUGCCUAGUAGUGGGGGAUAACUUGCCGAAAGGUAAGCUAAUACCGCAUACGUCCUACGGGAGAAAGGAGGGGACCUUCGGGCCUUUCGCUAUUAGAUGAGCCUAGGUCGGAUUAGUUAGUUGGUGAGGUAAUGGCUCACCAAGACCGCGAUCCGUAACUGGUCUGAGAGGGUGAUCAGUCACACUGGAACUGAGACACGGUCCAGGCUCCUACGGGAGGCAGCAGUGGGGAAUAUUGGACAAUGGGGGGAACCCUGAUCCAGCCAUGCCGCGUGUGUGAAGAAGGUCUUAGGAUUGUAAAGCACUUUAAGUUAGGAGGAAGAGCAGUUAACUAAUAUUUGACUGUUUUGACGUUACCGACAGAAUAAGCACCGGCUAACUUCGUGCCAGCCGCCGCGGUAA